Theobroma cacao (cacao) is the source of this 325-nucleotide non-coding RNA. The record is from RefSeq and is a predicted model, not a curated record. NCBI's taxonomy places the organism in Eukaryota, Viridiplantae, Streptophyta, Magnoliopsida, Malvales, Malvaceae.
UCCACUCUCGCUCGAUUUGGUUUUUGCCGACCGCCCUUUCUGGUUUUUGGUUUUUGGCUUCAUCUUUAGCAAGUCCAAGUUGCUGCCAUCCUUGUUCCUUGAUCCUUCACCUUUUUGGGCCUUCCCUUAUCAAGUGACUGAUUGAAGAUUUCAAUGGCAAGUGAACCGUCUUAUCUCCUGCAUCUUUCCUUCCAUCUGAACCCCCCUUUGUUGUUGUUGAAGACUGUUUGUUGUUGUUUUUAUCUAGUUAAAUACUGUUAAUGAUUUGUUGUUAUUUGCUCAAAGAUUAUUUAUUGUUGUUUUUAUCUAUGUUUUUAAUUGUUUA